CUUUCUGUGAGCAGCUGGGUUGCUUGCAGCUUGGUUCAUCUUAGAACCGGUUGAGAAAGGAGUGCCUUACUUAGUGGAUCUUCUGAGGGUCUCCUCCAUUGCCUGGGGCUGGGUUUUCCUUGCGACAUAAAGGAAUGUUGAGAAUUGCACUGACAUAUACUUUCAAUAUUCCUCAAUACAUGUCAAGUAUUUUUCACUGCUACCGUCUCUCCUUUGGUCAGGAUGCAUUGGCCCCAUAAACACUCAAAUCAAGCUGAGUUAGGUGGUUAUAGCAAAGAAAUUGUGUGGUCCGUUAUAAGAUCACCACCUGUGACUGAGAAGAAUGGUCAUCAAUUUCAGCCACCUUAUGGAUAAAAACUUGGUUGUGUAACAUAAGGUCCAGCGAACCUUAGCUGGGACGAUGCUGGAGCAGUGUGCACACAGAAAACAGGACAAAGUAAAAUGAACAGUGACAGGAAAUAGUUACCUUAAGUUCAGGGUUGAUGUAAAUGGUGAGAAAUACAAGCUUACUGUAGAAAACAAACAACAAACAUACAGCCAGCCGCCACUCUGAACAUCUGAAUGUCUGAAGACACCACUUCAAUUGUGGACCAUAUUUGCUUCUUUGUGUCAUUGGCUGCCCUCUUUUGUCUGUGACAUUAUAUCAGUGAUGUCUGGCGAGAGGCAACUGUUACAUAGACAGGUACCCAGUGUUUAGGCAAUAAGACUUAAGGAUCCGUGUUCUCAGUUUUAGGAAACAACUUCAUAUUCUUAUGUCUCAAUUAUGCACUUUAUAUUUUUUAAUGCUUUUUAAAUCAUUAUUAGUUGUUCAUAAGACAAAUUUGACAAUCAGAGGGUUGUUCUUGGUGGAGAUACAUGGCGAUAGAUUAUGUGGAAUACGCCUAAUUUUUUUAAAAUUUCAGCUUUAUUGAGAUAUCAUUCACAUGUAAAAUAAGAUAUUUAAAAUGUACAUCAUGGUGACAAUAAAAAACUUACACAUUGCAAAAA
Long non-coding RNA from Herpailurus yagouaroundi (jaguarundi), 987 nucleotides. RefSeq lists it as uncharacterized. The transcript is spliced from 2 exons. NCBI's taxonomy places the organism in Eukaryota, Metazoa, Chordata, Mammalia, Carnivora, Felidae. The record is from RefSeq and is a predicted model, not a curated record.